UUCGACGCAACGCGCAGAACCUUACCUUGGUCUUUGACAUCCCGGGAAUCUUUCUGAAAGGAGAGAGUGCCUCGCAAGAGGAGCCUGGUGACAGGUGCUGCAUGGCUGUCGUCAGCUCGUGUCGUGAGAUUGUUGGGUUUAAGUCCCGCAACGAGCGCAACCCCUAUCUUUAGUUGCCAUCAUUGAGUUGGGCACUCUAAAGAGACUGCCGGUGUCAAACCGGAGGAAGCGGGGAUGACGUCAAGUCAGCAUGGCCUUUAUGUCCAGGGCUACACGCGUGCUACAAUGGGCGGUACAGAGGGAAGCAAAGCCGCGAGGUGGAGCUAAUCCUUAAAGCCGUCCUCAGUUCGGAUCGCAGGCUGCAACUCGCCUGCGUGAAGUCGGAAUCGCUAGUAAUCGCGGAUCAGCUACGCCGCGGUGAAUACGUUCUCGGGCCUU
This 438-nucleotide ribosomal RNA is filed under the name uncultured Desulfocapsa sp. RNAcentral describes it as "bacterial SSU rRNA". It matches the Rfam family "Bacterial small subunit ribosomal RNA", at positions 950 to 1382 of the family's 1533-position model. The record is from RNAcentral. Lineage: Bacteria; Pseudomonadati; Thermodesulfobacteriota; Desulfobulbia; Desulfobulbales; Desulfocapsaceae.